UGUCUCUCUCUGCCUCUCUCGUCCACUUCCACAGAUCUCACCAAUAUUCUUGAGUCGUUCCUGCCUCAGCUGCUGGCAUAUCCCAACCCCAUCGACCCGCUGAACGGAGACGCGGCGCCAUGUACCUCCACCGACCAGAGGAGUACAAACAGAAAAUCAAAGAGUACAUCCAGAAAUAUGCAACAGAGGAGGCUCUCAAGGAGCAGGAGGAGGGCCAGGGCGAUUCCUCAUCGGAAAGCUCCAUGUCGGAUUUCUCUGAAGACGAAGCCCAGGAUAUGGAGUUGUAGUGAUGGGAGACAACUCCCCUUUAAAACCACAGACUGUAUGAUUUCCUAACCAUGAGAAAGCAGACAUCAUAUUCAUAUAAAUUGAUUUUUUUAUUAUUAUUAUAAUUAUUAUAAUUAUUAUUGCUAAAACAAGGAUUUUUGUGGAUAUCAAGCCUCGGCGUAUAUCACACACCACCCGCUUUGUGUUUUUGCCAUGUCCCAGUCGCUUUCUCCUCCUUCAAUCCCUGUAAAGGUGCGUUGGACUUAGCGGUAGCAGUCCCCACAUUCCACCGGUAGUUGGAAUGUCCCCUUUGACCCGGUGACCUUCGGCCUUACCCUCACUGCACCAUCGACCGGACAAAAUGGAGACUAGCUCUAUGGGCUGGGCUGAGUGGGAGGUGGGCACCGGGGGAUUUCCCUUCUCUUUAUCUCAUGAAUGUGUUGAAGAAGAGGAACUAGAGAGUUAGGUCAUAUUCAUGGUCAUGGCAAUUAUGGUCCAGGUCUUCAGCCGAAUUCGUACCUGUCUGGAUCUGAUUUUUGUUUGAAUGGUAAAGUUGGAUUUGAAUUGGAUACAUCACCCUGCCGGCGUUGGCUGUCGACUUGUCCUGCUAGACAGGUGAUUGGGUAUUUUAAAGUAACAUGAAAGAGGGGAAUUGCAGCUUCAAUAUCUAUUUUCUUUCACCAAUGUUGUUUUCCUAGUGUUCAUUUGUCAUUUGUGCUUUUCAUUUGGCUGGGGUUAGGAGCUGCCUAUGGUGUGUGUGUGCAGCACCUAGCUUGUACAGUGAUACUUCACCUUUCUCAUUAGAGCCUUAUGAACCCAGCCAGCGCGUCAAUCAAAGCGCUUACAUCUCUCUGAGCCUGUCCGAGCUGGUGUGGCUGUCAGACUACCUGUACCCCUUUAGAAAAGUACAUCACUUCCUGGAACGCCAUAGGUAUUAUGUAUCCACUGAAGUUUUAGGGGUGAAUAAUGCCCAGAAUGAGGGAUUGAACGCUGAUGUGUUGAAAAGUGAGGUAGAAGUMGCCGACCUUACCUCACCGGCCACAGCACAGACGCCCAACAAAUUCUCCUCCGCUCUGUUUUUGUAAAAAAGUUAAAGGAGCGUAGAAAAAAUCGCAAGAAYCAUUUUUGUAACAAAAAAGAAAAGCACAAGGUUUUAUUUCCUACAAACUCCUCCCUCCUAGAUGAUUUGGACCUUGUUGAUUUGUUUAUUUUGGUGGCAAAGACAGGAUUUUUUUUUUGGGGGGGGGGGACAUCAUUCUGUACAGUUUGGGCAUGAUCCAGAAGUGACGUUGUGUUGGUCUGUAUUGCGCUAGGCUAGUGUAGGGCUCAACUAAAGUAGUACUGCUUGUGUGGCUACUGUCUGAAGUAUUGAGUUGCGUUGUGUACAAGGCUUAGUGAUUUACCUGGGUUACCCUUCACUCUUAYAUGGGGGGAAAUGCAGGGGGGAUAUCUGCAGGUCUUUUUUUUGCUAACAUUGUUGAAAUGACCAACUUAGCCUAUUGCUCGCGCUAAACUAUGAUAUGUGUUUUUGACUUGAUGUYGCGAUAGUUAGUUUACUGGGCGGUGUCUUCAYCUAAAGACAUAUAUGGGUAUAUUACAGAGUUAGCUUGUUUCAGGCAAUUGUCUGAUAAGUAAAACAACAAUAGCUGAUUUUAAGUUUGAAGGUAAUGUCCAUUGUAGGGUUUACAUCAGAUAUUCCAUGGAUCUAUACCGGCUGGUCCCCUUCAGAGAUGUACAGAUCAACGUGAGAGUGAUUUCAGACAAUGGCAAUGAAUUGACUGGUGGAGAAACUAGACUGAAUGUAUGAUAGUCUGUGCAAAACAAAAGCAUUGGGCCCGAUGAAAGUAUCAGACACUGCGCAGUGUGAUCAAGGCCACAUUGGGAUAGAGCUUGGAUGGGAGACCACGGUUUUCUUUGUUUUUAAUUUCAGUGUUCCCUAAAAGUUUGACUGUUCAAGGCUCCUGGAUUAAGAUGGUCAAAUAUGGAUUGGGUUCCAAUCCAUUGCCUGGUAUAAGACAGGAAAGUGGGUUUGGGGUUCCCAUGUUUCCUCACAGGCCAAAUGGAGCCUGCAAAAACAGAAUGAUGUCACAAGGAUACGCAGCAGAGUACCUUGCAAUUGGCUUCUGCCGUUUCCUGAGCUGCCUAUAUUUAUUCACUCUAUAUUGAAACCUUCGCUUUUCUUUCUCGUUUUUAAUCAAAUCAUUUACGGGCACCGCUGUUAAAACAAAGGUGUAUGUACUUAGGCUUCAGCCAAAUUGUGUCAUGCUGAAGAGAAUUAGAACUUMAAUUUUCUUUCUUUUUUAAGUAUUCAGUUUGGAUUUAAUGUUUUUUUUCUUAUUUUUUUCACAUUUAUGCAGUAUUGUACUAAAGUGAAAAAGAAAGAAAAAGAAAUAUCAUCAGAAUAAGUGGAGAAAGGCGAUGGAGGCCAUUUUGUGUUUUGGACACUUGCAUAGAGGAGCAAAUGUGAUAUUUCGGUAUUUUUAAAGAGAGUGCUCUUGUGUUGUCCUUGUUAUAACUAUGGUUUUGGUUUUCAAGCAGAAGUGUCGAUGUUCCCACAAACGGGGCGAUCCAAAGACGACAUGUACUCAGCUGUGGUCUGUUGCCAUGGUAAAUAUUUUGUUUUCUUUCACUCCUUUUUAUUCCCCCCAAACUAAUUCAAUGAUGAGAGGACUAUUUAUAACCUUUGUUUUUCUGUUUGUUUUUAAUUCCCAAGUCGAAGACUCAAUGACUCCUACAAUCCAAAAAUCUCCAAUAAACGUGUGCUUCUAUUGCAACUUUGAUUCGAAAUUAUUUUUGAAAAGAUUGAAAGUUUUACUACUUGAUUAGAUUUUUAGCCCCUCGCUCUCUUAAAUACAUUAGAACAUAGGUGUACCAAUGUGAGAUCUAAUUUCCCCCAACACACUAUCAACACUGACCCAAUGUGAGAUCUAAUUUCCCCCAACACACUAUCAACACUGACCCAAGUCAACCUGUUCCGAGUAAUAUCGAGGUGGGAGGGGGCCAAACCAAUUACUGUAGUAAGGUUAGUGUUACUAAGAGAUAGUGGUACCCCACACACACACCCCCAAUCUCACACACACACACACACACACACACAACCACACUUUGUGUAUAGUGAAGUCAGUACUGAGGGACUCAGCUGGUGGCUUCUGUCCAGACUAUUACAUUAGAGGGGAAAGUAGAGGCCUGGCUUCCAUCUGCACCAUCGGCGCCCCCCACCUAGUCCUGUUUCGUGGCGUCACCCCUGACCCCUGUGUUGACUGUACUGUACCUCUCCCAUGCACUWGUCUUGCAUGCAUCUGGUGUGGAGGGGCUCGAUUCAUCAUGUGCACCUCGCGUUCUGUCUUUGUGCUUCUCCAGAGUGGAACGCACCACACCCAGACAGUCCUACUGCUUUCACUACAGGGGACAUUGGGCACACGGCAUGGAAAAAUGCUUAACAAAAAACAUUAUAGGAACUGUAUUUGGUACCUGUCUACUACUUGAAAGUCAAGGGUGUUUUCAUUUUUUAAAAUCUGUCCUUGGUCUUACGUGAAUUUCAGUCCUCUUCCUCCCUCAUCCCCUCUCUCUUCUACAUUUUCUCCUCUCCGUUUACUCUGCAUUGUGAAMUGGGCAUGCUUGUCACAAGACAGACGCUCUCUAUCAGAGGAGGCUGCUGGGAGGAGCUUAAGGAGGAUGGGCUCAUUGUAAUGGAWUCAAUGGAACAGUAUCAAACAUAUGGAAACCACAACUCCGUUCCAUUUARAACAUUCCAGCCAUUACAAUGAGCCCAUCCUCCUAUAUCUCCUCCCGGCAGCCUCCACUGCUCUCUAUCUACAGGAUUAUAACCUCAUAAAUAGUUGUGUAUAAAUAAACUGUAAGUUCUUUUUUUAAAUAAAACAUUAACUGUG
Molecule: long non-coding RNA, 4157 nt
Organism: Salvelinus sp. IW2-2015
Lineage: Eukaryota; Metazoa; Chordata; Actinopteri; Salmoniformes; Salmonidae
Source: RefSeq, a predicted model, not a curated record